AGAGACGGAGUGGCUGAGACUGAGCAAGGACUGGCGAGGGUGAUUUUGAAGUUAUCCCAAGGUGAAGCUAGAGUAGAUUUGAUCUUCGUCGGGACCCUACACAACAAGUCGAUAUCGGAAGGAAUUCUCGAUCCGACCCCUCUGAUGCUUAAAUUAGUUAAUGAAAAAUCGGUUCUAUAUCUAGUGUGAAUUUUUUUUAGGAUCG
This 205-nucleotide long non-coding RNA is filed under the name Musa acuminata (dwarf banana). RNAcentral's name for it is "long non-coding RNA (MACU_LNC005522)". The record is from RNAcentral. Lineage: Eukaryota; Viridiplantae; Streptophyta; Magnoliopsida; Zingiberales; Musaceae.